GUAUCAUCACCAUUUAACCUGAUAUCUUUCGGGCAUUUGGUGUGGACGGAAGAUAUUAAAAUCUUCCGAGCACGCAUAAAUAAACAACAAUAGCAGUUUACAUAAAAUGCACCCCUCGGAAGGCAACUUUCGAGGGGUUUUCUUU
Haemophilus sputorum HK 2154 is the source of this 145-nucleotide non-coding RNA. NCBI's taxonomy places the organism in Bacteria, Pseudomonadati, Pseudomonadota, Gammaproteobacteria, Pasteurellales, Pasteurellaceae. The record is from Rfam.